This 270-nucleotide unclassified non-coding RNA is filed under the name Leptospora rubella. RNAcentral describes it as "partial internal transcribed spacer region". The stretch from base 1 to 46 matches the Rfam family "Eukaryotic small subunit ribosomal RNA", at positions 1786 to 1831 of the family's 1831-position model. Lineage: Eukaryota; Fungi; Ascomycota; Dothideomycetes. The record is from RNAcentral.
AAGUCGUAACAAGGUUUCCGUAGGUGAACCUGCGGAAGGAUCAUUAUGAAUCAGUAGCUUGCUACUGCGCUGGGGGAGAUGGGAAAGUCCUGGCUGAAAAGUCAGUGUACCGGUACCUGCACCCCUAUCAUACCCUUGUCUUUUGAGCACUUCUGUUUCCUUGGUGGGCUUGCCUGCCGAUAGGACAACUUUUAAACCUUUUAAUAUGUCAAUCAGCGUCUGAAAAAUAAUUAAUAAUUACAACUUUCAACAACGGAUCUCUUGGUUCUG